AUUACCGAGUUUACAACUCCCAAACCCCAUGUGAACAUACCUGUUUCGUUCCCUCGGCGGUGUCCGGCAACGGCCCGCCAGAGGACCCAACAAACUCUUUUGAAUUUUUCAGUAUCUUCUGAGUAAAAAAUACAAUAAAUCAAAACUUUCAACAACGGAUCUCUUGGUUCUGGCAUCGAUGAAGAACGCAGCGAAAUGCGAUAAGUAAUGUGAAUUGCAGAAUUCAGUGAAUCAUCGAAUCUUUGAACGCACAUUGCGCCCGCCAGUAUUCUGGCGGGCAUGCCUGUUCGAGCGUCAUUUCAACCCUCAAGCUUAGCUUGGUGUUGGGGAUCGGCAAGGCGUCCUCCGGGUCGCGCCGUCCCCCAAAUUUAGUGGCGGUCUCGCUGUAGCUUCCUCUGCGUAGUAAUACACCUCGCUCUGGAGUCUCGGUGCGACCACGCCGUAAAACCCCCAACUUUUUCUGGUUGACCUCGAAUCAGGUAGGACUACCCGCUGAACUUAAGCAUAUCAAUAAGCGGAGGAAAAGAAACCAACAGGGAUUGCCCUAGUAACGGCGAGUGAAGCGGCAACAGCUCAAAUUUGAAAUCUGGCCCUCGGGUCCGAGUUGUAAUUUGUAGAGGAUGCUUUUGGUGAGGUGCCUUCCGAGUUCCCUGGAACGGGACGCCAUAGAGGGUGAGAGCCCCGUCUGGUUGGACACCAAACCUCUGUAAAGCUCCUUCGACGAGUCGAGUAGUUUGGGAAUGCUGCUCUAAAUGGGAGGUAUAUGUCUUCUAAAGCUAAAUACCGGCCAGAGACCGAUAGCGCACAAGUAGAGUGAUCGAAAGAUGAAAAGCACUUUGAAAAGAGAGUUAAAAAGUACGUGAAAUUGUUGAAAGGGAAGCGCUUAUGACCAGACUUGGACUUGGUUGAUCAUCCUGGGUUCUCCCUGGUGCACUCUUCCAGUUCAGGCCAGCAUCAGUUCGCUGCGGGGGAUAAAAGUUUUGGGAAUGUGGCUCCCUCGGGAGUGUUAUAGCCCAUUGCAU
This 1022-nucleotide ribosomal RNA is filed under the name fungal sp. RNAcentral's name for it is "eukaryotic LSU rRNA". The stretch from base 466 to 1022 matches the Rfam family "Eukaryotic large subunit ribosomal RNA", at positions 1 to 569 of the family's 3401-position model. The record is from RNAcentral. Lineage: Eukaryota; Fungi.